This 62-nucleotide ribosomal RNA is filed under the name uncultured organism. RNAcentral's name for it is "partial 16S ribosomal RNA". The record is from RNAcentral.
AGUUCUUGACAUCCUACAAACUUUCUGGAGACAGAUUGGUGCCCUUUCGGGGGAAUGUAGUG